Molecule: ribosomal RNA, 460 nt
Filed under: uncultured bacterium
Lineage: Bacteria
Description: partial 16S ribosomal RNA
Rfam family: Bacterial small subunit ribosomal RNA
Source: RNAcentral
CCUACGGGUGGCAGCAGUGAGGAAUAUUGGUCAAUGGACGAGAGUCUGAACCAGCCAAGUAGCGUGAAGGAUGACUGCCCUAUGGGUUGUAAACUUCUUUUAUAAAGGAAUAAAACGAGGCACGUGUGCCUUUUUGCAUGUACUUUAUGAAUAAGGAUCGGCUAACUCCGUGCCAGCAGCCGCGGUAAUACGGAGGAUCCGAGCGUUAUCCGGAUUUAUUGGGUUUAAAGGGAGCGUAGAUGGGUUGUUAAGUCAGUUGUGAAAGGUUGCGGCUCAACCGUAAAAUUGCAAUUGAUACUGGCAGUCUUGAGUACAGUUGAGGUAGGCGGAAUUCGUGGUGUAGCGGUGAAAUGCUUAGAUAUCACGAAGAACCCCGAUUGCGAAGGCAGCUUACUAAACUGUGACUGACAUUGAUGCUCGAAAGUGUGGGUAUCAAACAGGAUUAGAUACCCUAGUAGUC